UCUUCCAUGAAGACUGCCCUUUGCAUGCCUCGCGUCUCUUCUGAAGGGGUUCGGCUAUCAUAAAAAUGUCCUUAAAAGUUCCCUGAGCUCCCGAAGCAUAUAUUCGAGGCUUUCGUAGUCUUUCUUCGACUCUGCCCGUAGACUCACUAAAGAUGGUCAGUGGUCGACAAUAUACUUUCAAGGCGAGUGAAAGCAAAGGAAAGGAGACAAAUAAGCCGUACUGUCGUAAUAUAGUUGAACACAUUACUGCGUGAAAUGAGUGCACAUCAGCGCAGCUCGGCAUUGGGAGCACUUCUUCGCAAUUUGAAAACUUGCAGGAUAUAUUUUCACCAUACAUCGUUCGUAAAUUUCGAGAAUACGUAUAUUUUUUUAUACUCGAGCCAGCCAAGUCGACUUCCCUUCUGAGCUGAAUUCUUUUUCAAGUUUGCGUAAUAUUUGUUACGCUAAAGAAGUUCACACUAUUAUUUCUAAGCAUAGCGCACAAUUUUUAACACGACAGCGUUAACGGCCGCGUGUCGCAGAAAAUCCGGCGUCGACGUCCAGCGUCGACCAUCUUUUCACAAGAAAUCAUAUCGAAGCAGGGUCAUUCCAUGCGAAACGUCCCACACCCAAAGGCGACCAUCAUUGAUCUUUUCUUGAAAAAAUUGAGCUACAUGGCUAUUGUGUGACUAAGGCUUCACCAAAGUAUUUUCGUCGAAAAAGAAGUUUUGAUCACGUGAGCGCACUUUGAAGUUUCCGCAAAGGUGCAAAAGUUGGUUGGAGGUACGUUUUUUUUUUAUUCUAAUCUGAAACUAGGCGCAAUAACAAAUUUAUUUUAGUGCAUUGUAUUGGCAUCCUUCUUUCACAUGACGUCAUAAUUGAAUGCAUCUUAGAGUUUUCCGUGUUUAUUUGGCUCACUAAAAAGCAAUAAAACUUGCGUUUUAGAAAUUUUUUUCAUAAACUGCGUCACUUCUUCAGCUACCAUAAUUUUUCUCCUUUUUUUCCUGUUACUACAAUGUCUGCUAAAUAAAUUGAAAUUAUUAAUAAAUAUAUUUUUUGAGGAAUAUACCUCCAAAAUUGGCAAGAAGUGAAUUUCUUGCGAUAUUGACACGUGAACUCGUUUAUUUGUUACGGGUGAGCGCUUUUACCGUCCACGAAAUCUUAUCGCUCAGCGCAGACGCGUCUACACGUGUCGGAAGUUUCUAGAAUGUUAUCGGUGCUUCUAUCCGCUGUCUGUCAUCGCCGAACCAUAGAGAAAUUCAACAAGAGGGAACACUCUUCAAAAGCUGGCAGCAGGAAACACGUCACGCCUAGUUUCAACUCCAUCCGUUAGUUGACGCGAGCAUCAGAAAAAAAGAAUGUGAAAUAAACUUCCAGACAACGUUUCAUUUCUUUUAUUCUUUCCAACUAAAAGUCACAAAGUUUUGCGUGUAAAUGAACUUAUACUUUGCAACUUAUUUUUCUUGCGUUGCCUAGCAACAAGCUAGCGGCACGCCAGACGCGCGUACAUACGUCAGGCGCCAGACAAGCCGCAGGAGUGAGCGAGGCCGGCUGCGGAUGUGAAGCUCGCGUGCUCGGCGACCCGUCUCUUUUGGAUGUAGCCCGUUUUUUGGGCUCCCGGCGUGCUCUUGUGUUCCGUCUGCAUUUCGACACGGCACCGCUGCACUAAUGGACUACAGCAAGCUGAUGGCAUCCGGUGGAGCUUCGUACGGCAACGACUGCUGCUUACCUGGUGCCCCAACAUUGGAUGAAUGUAGAAGAAAUCCGAAACGAGUAUUUAUAUAGAACAAAAUAAACGUUUCAUCAUUUCAGAA
Molecule: long non-coding RNA, 1793 nt
Organism: Dermacentor andersoni
Lineage: Eukaryota; Metazoa; Arthropoda; Arachnida; Ixodida; Ixodidae
Source: RefSeq, a predicted model, not a curated record